This 370-nucleotide ribosomal RNA is filed under the name uncultured prokaryote. RNAcentral describes it as "bacterial SSU rRNA". It matches the Rfam family "Bacterial small subunit ribosomal RNA", at positions 524 to 896 of the family's 1533-position model. The record is from RNAcentral.
UACGGAGGGUGCAAGCGUUAUCCGGAUUCACUGGGUUUAAAGGGUGCGUAGGUGGUCUUGUAAGUCAGUGGUGAAAUACCGCAGCUCAACUGCGGAACUGCCAUUGAUACUGCUUGACUUGAAUUAGGUUGAGGUGGAUGGAAUAUUACAUGUAGCGGUGAAAUGCUUAGAUAUGUAAUAGAACACCGAUUGCGAAGGCAGUUCACUAAACCUAUAUUGACACUGAGGCACGAAAGCGUGGGGAUCAAACAGGAUUAGAUACCCUGGUAGUCCACGCCCUAAACGAUGUAUACUCGACAUACGCGAUAUACUGUGUGUGUCUAAGCGAAAGCGUUAAGUAUACCACCUGGGAAGUACGUCCGCAAGGAUG